ACACAUGCAAGUCGAGGGGCAGCACAGGUAGCAAUACCGGGUGGCGACCGGCGCACGGGUGAGUAACGCGUAUGCAACUUACCUAUCAGAGGGGGAUAACCCGGCGAAAGUCGGACUAAUACCGCAUGAAGCAGGGGCCCCGCAUGGGGAUAUUUGCUAAAGAUUCAUCGCUGAUAGAUAGGCAUGCGUUCCAUUAGGCAGUUGGCGGGGUAACGGCCCACCAAGCCGACGAUGGAUAGGGGUUCUGAGAGGAAGGUCCCCCACAUUGGUACUGAGACACGGACCAAACUCCUACGGGAGGCAGCAGUGAGGAAUAUUGGUCAAUGGGCGUAAGCCUGAACCAGCCAAGUCGCGUGAGGGAUGAAGGUUCUAUGGAUCGUAAACCUCUUUUAUAAGGGAAUAAAGUGCGGGACGUGUCCCGUUUUGUAUGUACCUUAUGAAUAAGGAUCGGCUAACUCCGUGCCAGCAGCCGCGGUAAUACGGAGGAUCCGAGCGUUAUCCGGAUUUAUUGGGUUUAAAGGGUGCGUAGGCGGCCUUUUAAGUCAGCGGUGAAAGUCUGUGGCUCAACCAUAGAAUUGCCGUUGAAACUGGGGGGCUUGAGUAUGUUUGAGGCAGGCGGAAUGCGUGGUGUAGCGGUGAAAUGCUUAGAUAUCACGCAGAACCCCGAUUGCGAAGGCAGCCUGCCAAGCCAUGACUGACGCUGAUGCACGAAAGCGUGGGGAUCAAACAGGAUUAGAUACCCUGGUAGUCCACGCAGUAAACGAUGAUCACUAGCUGUUUGCGAUACAUUGUAAGCGGCACAGCGAAAGCGUUAAGUGAUCCACCUGGGGAGUACGCCGGCA
Molecule: ribosomal RNA, 842 nt
Filed under: uncultured bacterium
Lineage: Bacteria
Description: bacterial SSU rRNA
Rfam family: Bacterial small subunit ribosomal RNA
Source: RNAcentral